Long non-coding RNA from Panicum virgatum (switchgrass), 4564 nucleotides. RefSeq lists it as uncharacterized. The transcript is spliced from 7 exons. NCBI's taxonomy places the organism in Eukaryota, Viridiplantae, Streptophyta, Magnoliopsida, Poales, Poaceae. The record is from RefSeq and is a predicted model, not a curated record.
UUUCCCAUCAAAAUUUCGGAGCGCCGCCGCCGCGCCGACCGCUUCAGCCAGCUCCGCCUCAGCCUGGCCCAGCCGCCGUCCUCAGCGUCCGGCCACGCCGUCGUCCGCCGCGUCCCCCGCCGCGCCUCGGCUCCUCCGCGGCCGGCGUCCAGGGCGGGCUGGCGUGCCGCGCGCCAUGCACGGCCGGCGUCCAGGGCGCCCGGCCUGCCGCGUGCCGCGGCCGGCUUGGGCAGUCAGGGGUGGGCCAAGCGGGCCCUCCGGCGUUGGCGGGAGCCGUGCGCCUCGCCCUGUGUGCGGUGCCCGGCGCCGCCGCCGUAUGCUGCCGCCGUUGGCGCACGGCCUUGCCGGGAGCCGUGCGCCGAGCCGCGCGUGCGGUUCCCUGCGCCGCCGCCGUGAGGUGCCGCCGUGGCCCUCCGGACUGGCGGGAGCCCUGCGCGGCCGGCCUGAGCUCCCGCCGUAAGGCACCUUCGGCGUUCGCCGUGCGGCGAGCCGUGCGGCUUGCGGCCUGGGCAUCCGGCCUGCUCGGAGGGCCUCCGCCUCCCGACGGAGACGGCGGGGAGGACGCUCGAGUAGCUCCCGUCCAGGGUCGUCGCUGUCGUGCCGCGCGGGAAGGGCGAGGACGAGUUCGGCGAGGAGGCGUGGACCAAGGAUAAAUCUAUAUCAGGAUUUAUAUCCUAUGCUCUCUGUGCAGCUGAUGAGGCUUUGAAGGUGCAAAUUGGUUGCCUUCAGAAGAUGAGAAGAAAGAAAAAAUGAUCUGUUGGUUCCUGGGUUCUUAGUGUGGUGCUGGUUCGGAUUCCCCUGCUGCUUGUUCUGUAUAUGCAAACCUCCCCCCACCCCCUCCUGUGAUGUCUUGUGCUAAUCUGAGUAUAUGUCCAUGCCUACAAUCUGUUCAUGUAUAUAUGGCAGUGAUGUUUUUUCAGCUGUCUAUGCCUAUGAAAUUUUCCUAAUCUGUACAUGUGGCCAUUACAUUGUUAUUUUUUUUGUUUAUGCAUAUUUCUUCCAUUCAUGUGAUGUUAGUUCCAGUUUAUUUAUCAACUAUCCCAUUGACAUCUAUAUUAAAACACAUUCAAUGUGUGGAAUUGUAUAAAUGGAUUUGCAAGACAAGAGAUGCAAGCUAUUUGCUUGGGCUCCUCAUCUUAUCACAGCCAUGUAUGCAUUCUUUCUGAGUAGAAUUAUGUGAUACUGUGUUAGCACGGGCCAAUUUACUAGUCGACCCACUAAAGCACCAAAGCGAUUUUUGCUUGGUCUACCCCGUCGACGCCCCCCCCCCCGAGAGAGCACCUCCAUGCGCACCAAAAAAUUGUACCCACGCAAUCCCCUACAACACAAAACGGAGGGACCAGAUUUCAUCGGCCUCCAAACGGACGGACGAGAGCAAAAGGCUUCAACGCCGCCCACGUCCACGCGGGCUCCAAAUCCGCCGUAAGCUGCCUUAACGCCACUUUAGUAUCGGGUCCAAAUUUGAAAGUUCUCAAAACCAUUUUAGUACCGGGCCAAGCCACCAGCUGAUACUAAAUUUUGCAUUUUAGUACCAGUCGGUGUUACUUCGAAAUGAAUGCAUCUCCGACUCAGUCACAAGUGAUGCAUAUGUGAGAUGGUAAGGAAACAACAUGUGAAGCCGGAGGUCAUGGGUUCGAAUCCUCAUGAUCGCGCACGCGCAUCUACGCAUGAAAAUUUUGUGUAACUUGGGACUUGGGACGAUGCGCGUGUGUAGGCCUCCAAGGGGUUUGUCAAUUUUUUUUUUGGGCUCAAAACCAUUUAGUACCGGUGCGUGUGACGUCCCAUUUAGUACCGGAAAACCGGUACCGGUCGGGCGCCCGAUACUAAAUAGGGGUUUCCGACCGGUACUAAUAGCCUUUUUCUCUGGCUGUGACCGAACAAGCCCUAAUAUACACUAGGCCGGAAACAAUUUGGCGUGGCGGCCAAAUCGUAUCUGUGCUGGCGGGUGGGAGGCCCGCCAGCACUCGUGUGCCAGCACAAAUGGCAAUUUGUGCUGGCGGGCCGCCAGCAGAGUUUGCAUCUGUACUGGCAGACUAUUUAACACGCCCGCCAGCACAAAUUGCCAUCUGUGCUGAUGGGUGGCUUAACUAACCCGCCAGCACAAAUACAAAAAAGAAAAAGAAAGAAGCCCGCUGAGCACAUCACGGGCCCGGCGAGCCCAUCCGCCAUCGGCGUAGGUGUCCGCACGCCCGCCGCACGCACGGGCGCCGCUGCUGGAUCUAGCCUCACCGCCAAGGCCUCGCCCGAGCCUCUACUCGGCCUCGCCUGCGUGCCGUCCCGGCCUUGUCCGGGCUGCCGACCACCGGAUCCAGGCCUGCACCGCCGCUCGACUUCGCCCACGCGCCGUCCCGGCCUCGUCCGGGCUGCCGACCGCCGGAUCCGAGCCAGCGUCGCCGCUCAACCUUGCCCGCGCGCUGUCCCGGCCUCGUCCGGGCCGCCGACCGCCAGAUCCGGGCCCGCGCCGCCACUCCGCCUCGCCCACGAGCCGUCCCGGCCUCGGCCGCGCCGCCGACUGCCGGAUCCCGGCUGUGCCGCUGCCUCGCCCUCACCUGCGCGCCGCCGCCUCGUCCUCACCCGCGCGCCGCCAUUCGCGCGCGGGGAGGGAGAAACGGGAUGGGAGGGGAGCCGCGCCGGUGUCCAGCUUCUUGGCGCAGGGGAAGCGUGCGAAGGGGCGUGGCGGCGGCGGAGGCAGUGGGGGGGGGGAGAAUGAGACUGAGAUGAAAUCUCAAACCCUAAUAGUAUAUAUAUAUUAGUAAACCCUGGGUAUUCAGUAGUGGAACCCCCCAACCCGACCAUCACGCCGAGCUGAGCUCAACCCACCGCCCCGUGGCCGGUUUUCUGUCCGGCCGGUUCCUCCAAACGGUUUUCUUUUUGGUUCCCAGUUCCCAGAUCGUGGCCACGAUCUCACGACACGGUGUCCUGCAGGGAUCCUAAUCUUCCCCCUCGCUCCGCUCCGGUGCCGCGGUGCCACCCUGCGCCUCCCGCUCCGGUGCCGCCCUGCGCUGCCCGCUCCCGGUGAUGCCGCUCCGAUCCUCCCAUCGCCGAUCCGGUGAAUGGCGCCUCCCGCACGCCAGCUACUGGCCAGGCCCUGCGCAUCCUCACAUUCAAGGCUUCCCCGCGUCAGAUCGGGAUUGUGGGUGGUGGUUUCUUCGAUUUCGUCGCCAGGAUAGAGUGCCCUUCGUUCGAUCGGCUACCUCAUGCGGGAUGGGGGCGAGGAUGCAAAGGCGACGGAGACCUGCAGCAGCUCAGCUUCCUCACGGUCUCCUCAAGCUUGCAAUUUCUUCGAAGGUUUUAUCCUCGGUAUGCAUAGUGCCAUUACCUCCCCUCCACUCAAUUCCCACGGUUUUGCUUUAUUUCCCACGGAUGUGUGGAUUUGUUUAGGUAGUAAGCUCUUAGUAAUCCCCAUGACCAAAAGGGACAUGGAUAUCUUCUUGAUUCGUCAUCGUAGGAUGGCCCAGAGAGACUUGGCGCGGCGGCGGAGCGUUCCACAGCCACCCACCCGUCUGCUGGUGAGGUCUUCCCAGAUUGAAGAUUGGUGCUUCAAGCAGUCAAUUCUCUUGUUUCUGCUGCCGGCAUCAGUGGCUGCUACAUGACACAACCGACGGCUUUGUUUGGUGGGCAAGCUGACUUCCUCCCUAUGAUGUUGAUGAUACGGAUCAAACGACGGCCAGUGCAUUAGUCUACUUAGAUGCCGGUGCCAUGUUUUGUGCAAGAACAAGAACAACAACCUCGAACCCAUACUGGACAAAGCACGAGAGUUUACCUCUCACUUGCGUGCAUUGUGAGGACACAAGGAGCUGAUGGGCAAGCUGGUUCAUACCAGCUUUCAGCUUGAGCUCCAAUGUUGUCUCCAUGAACAUCAUGGAGACCAUUGCCAGAGUCUUUGUCGAGCCAUUGAUGUUCAUCAGUUGGGGGUAGGGGAGGUCCACACCAUAAUCUUUUGUGGCAUCUCCUCUAUCCAGCUUCUCAUGGACCAUGGCGAGCUUGGCCAUCGGAAUCAGAGGAUGGAUUCUGGUACGAGGUCAGUGCAUAUGAUGCCUAUCAAUCCGAGGAGAACAAGGUGGUUUAGGAGUCCCAGAUGACUGGGGCUAUCCGGAGGAUGGAGGAGGUUCUGCAGCAGGUAAUUCUGGUAUCCAAGUCGAUUGGGGAAACCGAAUUAGAAGCAAAACUUGAGGAGGCAGUCAGCAAGAUCAAGAGGCGCAUAGUAUCCACUGCAUCUUUGUAAUUGUAACAUGUAUUGACGGUGUCAUAAUUUCGUAAGAGCUCCCAAGAGCAUAGAGAAAUUAAGUCUCUCUUAGCUAUUUCGCUCCAAGUGUUGUUGGCCUGAUGGAGAUGUCUGGUGGAAACAUGGAACAGUGAUGUGGCAGGCAAAGUUUUGUUAGUGUUGUUAACCUUGUACGUAGGGAUGAAAACAGAUCGGAUACGGACGGCUAUCACUGAUAUCGUAUUUGUUUUCAUAUUUGUGUUCGAAUACGGUGUCUGAUACGGAUAGUGUUAGUUUUUGUUGAAUAAGAUUGUAAUAAAUAUCGACAUUAUAAAAAUGUAACUUUUGAGCAUUCGGAUA